Cyprinus carpio (common carp) is the source of this 824-nucleotide long non-coding RNA. The record is from Ensembl. Lineage: Eukaryota; Metazoa; Chordata; Actinopteri; Cypriniformes; Cyprinidae.
AUGAGGUCGUGCUUGUGGAUUUUCGUCCUUGGGAGUUUAAUCGUGACUGGAGUCAAGAUGCAAGAUUCUCCAGCAGAUGACCUUGCGCCAGAGGAAUCAGCCGUUCCUGAUGAAGCUGCAGAUGCUGAAAAACCAGCUGAAGAUCCUGCACCUGAAGAAACACCAGAGGAAACACAUGAGGAAACACCUGAGGAAACACCUGAAGAAACACCUGAGGAAACACCUGAGGAAACACCCGAGGAAACACCUGAAGAAACACCUGAGGAAACACCCGAGGAAACAGCAGAAAAGGCAGCAGCUCCUGCAGAGCCUGAAGCUGAAGACACAAACCCUGACACAGACGCCGCGGCAGAAGAUGCUAAAGAAACACCAGCAGGUGAUCUGAUCUAAACAUAAAGACAUUACACUCCACAAACAACACACAACACCCAGAAUACAGAUUCAAAACAGCCACAGAAACCUGACAGAUCAGGACAUUUUAAAAAAGGAGUUUCUGUCAGAGAACAUGUCCUCAGCCCUGAAAUAUUUCAUAGCCAGAAGCUGCUCUUUCUGAAUGCAAUCUUUAAUCAAAUGAUUUCAAAAAUCCUUCAAAUAUCCUGUAACCAUGAAGGCCUGGAAAAGUCAUAGAAAUUCAUCGGUCGGUGGGCUGGGAAGCCUGUAAUAAUCGUGUGGUUUGGACUAUGACGUAUUUUCCUCUCUAUUGCCGUUUCGCUGAAAAAACAGACGCAGAAGAUCAGACAUGCUGGUCUGGCAACUAAAUGAGUUCAAGUUUAAAUACUAAAAUUACUAACUGGAAAUAAAAUAACUAAAAAUAUUAAAAAUCA